GACGUGGUAGCGCAGUGGUCAAGUAGGCUUGACUUGGGAUCAAAAGAUCUUGAGUUCAAGCCCCUGCCACGACC
Non-coding RNA from Gymnothorax javanicus (giant moray), 74 nucleotides. NCBI's taxonomy places the organism in Eukaryota, Metazoa, Chordata, Actinopteri, Anguilliformes, Muraenidae. The record is from the annotation of a GenBank genome assembly.